This 465-nucleotide ribosomal RNA is filed under the name Vreelandella stevensii. RNAcentral describes it as "partial 16S ribosomal RNA". It matches the Rfam family "Bacterial small subunit ribosomal RNA", at positions 338 to 795 of the family's 1533-position model. The record is from RNAcentral. Lineage: Bacteria; Pseudomonadati; Pseudomonadota; Gammaproteobacteria; Oceanospirillales; Halomonadaceae.
CCUACGGGAGGCAGCAGUGGGGAAUAUUGGACAAUGGGCGAAAGCCUGAUCCAGCCAUGCCGCGUGUGUGAAGAAGGCCUUCGGGUUGUAAAGCACUUUCAGGGGGGAAGAAAGCCUUGGGGCUAAUACCCUCGAGGAAGGACAUCACCCACAGAAGAAGCACCGGCUAACUCCGUGCCAGCAGCCGCGGUAAUACGGAGGGUGCGAGCGUUAAUCGGAAUUACUGGGCGUAAAGCGCGCGUAGGCGGUCUGAUAAGCCGGUUGUGAAAGCCCCGGGCUCAACCUGGGAACGGCAUCCGGAACUGUCAGGCUAGAGUGCAGGAGAGGACGGUAGAAUUCCCGGUGUAGCGGUGAAAUGCGUAGAGAUAGGGAGGAAUACCAGUGGCGAAGGCGGCCUUCUGGACUGACACUGACGCUGAGGUGCGAAAGCGUGGGUAGCAAACAGGAUUAGAUACCCGGGUAGUC